This is a long non-coding RNA of Fukomys damarensis (Damara mole-rat), 485 nucleotides long. RefSeq lists it as uncharacterized. The record is from RefSeq and is a predicted model, not a curated record. The transcript has 7 exons. Lineage: Eukaryota; Metazoa; Chordata; Mammalia; Rodentia; Bathyergidae.
GAUCCUCCUGCCUCAGCCUUCUGAGUACUGGGAUUACAGUACACUCUGGAGAAUGUAAGGAAGAGGGUAAACGUGUGAGUCUGAAUACCAGACCAGCUGCGUGGCUGUGGAGAAAUAUCCACCUCAAUUUCUGCAGUUCCAGAAGCUGAGAAGACCAAGAUCAAGGUUCACGUCAAAUACAAAUUCUAAUCCAAGAAACAUCCACGCAGGAAGAGCAUGGAGAUCAACAGCACUAAAAAAUUAAACUGAAAGGAACGCUGGUUGCUUUUAUGCUGCACAAUCUCCCUAGUUAAUGUAACAUCAAUGCCAACGGUUCCUUUCAGAAGUCAAAGAGAAAAAAAAAAUCAAAGAGAAGACUCAUAGCAACCGUUACAACCGCCACAGAUCAAACUAGUGAUAAUAAUAAAAAUUGCCAGGAAUCUGAAACAGGGGCAUAGACUCGGCGCUGGAGCAUGACUUUUGCUGCUGUGUUUUUCACAAGAAAC